UGGGGAAUUUUGCACAAUGGGGGAAACCCUGAUGCAGCGACGCCGCGUGAUUUAGAAGGCCUUCGGGUUGUAAAAAUCUUUUCUAUGGGAAGAAAAUGACAGUACCAUAGGAAUAAGGACCGGCUAAUUACGUGCCAGCAGCCGCGGUAAUACGUAAGGUCCGAGCGUUGUCCGGAAUCAUUGGGCGUAAAGGGUACGUAGGCGGGUAAGCAAGUUAGAAGUGAAAUCCUAUAGCUCAACUAUAGUAAGCUUUUAAAACUGCUCAUCUUGAGGUAUGGAAGGGAAAGUGGAAUUCCUAGUGUAGCGGUGAAAUGCGCAGAUAUUAGGAGGAAUACCGGUGGCGAUGGCGACUUUCUGGCCAUAACCUGACGCUGAGGUACGAAAGCGUGGGUAGCAAACAGG
This 402-nucleotide ribosomal RNA is filed under the name bacterium. RNAcentral's name for it is "partial 16S ribosomal RNA". It matches the Rfam family "Bacterial small subunit ribosomal RNA", at positions 355 to 776 of the family's 1533-position model. The record is from RNAcentral.